ACUUUCUUGUUUCUCUUACCGAUAAUCAAAGAAACAACCCAAAACAACGACUUUGCUGGUUCUGCUUGAGGGUUGACGUCUCUAAUCUUCCUCUCUCCGGCAUUCUAGUCCUCCAACGAUUCAAGCCAGUCACUGGAGAAUAUUUCCGGCGAAUGAGGAAUUUUCAGAAUUGGAGGUCGAAGUUAGACUCUCAAUUCAAGAUCUACCAGAAUGUAUUUGCUACCCUCCAGUUCUUAAGAUGAUUAUAGUGUGCUUCUGUUCAGGUACUCAAGAGAGACUCAAUGGGUGCAUUGGUUAUUCAAUCUUGAAACAUCUUUAACGAAAAUUUUUGAAUCUACUGAUGGCCUUAUGAGAUGGGUGUCGUUGCUAUCCUAAGAAAUGGAGAGGUUCUUGGGAGGCAAGCUGUUCUAAAAAAUGAUCAUAGUCCUGGUUGCCAAAACCACAGUUUUCCCGAGACCGUGUAGUGAGCACCCAAUUUCAAAGAAGUUCCUGGAAUUCCAACUCAACCAUCGAUGGUAUUUGAGCUGUUAUUCACAGGGAUAGUAGCUUUAAAGGUGGUAAACCAGUUUUUUUGGUACAAUAUGAGAGAAAAGCCUGUUAUCAAACCAUUUGUACUUUGUGAGGUGGAAAGGCCAUGCAAAAAUAUGCUGGAGUACACGGUAAAUUUCUAUAUUCUGUAUCAAAUUAUCAAUUAUAUGAUCAGAACUAGGUAAUUGAGGCGAGUAUAUAAGGUGUAAGUUUGUUUCAGUACAAAAUCUAAAUAUGAUGUAUCGUAGUGAAUGUGAUGUGUCAAAUAAAAAUCCUAUCUUAAAUAUGUAAUAUUAAAUAUGUCAUGUAUCAAACAAAACAAUUAGAUGAUAUCAUGGUAUUUCAUGGAACACAUCAGUUCCAUGUAACACUGGCUGGUAUGUUGCUUAAAAUGUUACAUCAUA
Molecule: long non-coding RNA, 932 nt
Organism: Macadamia integrifolia
Lineage: Eukaryota; Viridiplantae; Streptophyta; Magnoliopsida; Proteales; Proteaceae
Exons: 3
Source: RefSeq, a predicted model, not a curated record